RNAcentral lists this ribosomal RNA (1821 nucleotides) under Turicibacter sanguinis. RNAcentral describes it as "partial 23S ribosomal RNA". It matches the Rfam family "Bacterial large subunit ribosomal RNA", at positions 1 to 1831 of the family's 2925-position model. Lineage: Bacteria; Bacillati; Bacillota; Erysipelotrichia; Erysipelotrichales; Turicibacteraceae. The record is from RNAcentral.
UUAAAAAGGUCAAGCUACAAAGGGCGCAUGGUGAAUGCCUUGGCAUCAGGAGCCGAUGAAGGACGUGAUAAGCUGCGAUAAGCUUCGGGUAGGCGCACAUAGCCAGAGAUCCGGAGAUUUCCGAAUGGGGAAACCCGCAUGAGAAACCUCAUGCAUCGUAAAGUGAAUACAUAGCUUUAUGAAGGAACACCUAGGGAACUGAAACAUCUAAGUACCUAGAGGAAGAGAAAGAAAAAUCGAUUUUCUUAGUAGCGGCGAGCGAAAAGGAAAGAGCCCAAACCAGAGAUUUAUCUCUGGGGUUGCGGACAGAACAUAACGUGAAAUUAUGAUUAACCGAACACAACUGGAAAGUUGGACCGUAGGAGGUAAUAGUCCUGUAAGUAAAAGUCAUAAUGAUCAGUUCUGCACCAGAGUACCACGAGACACGUGAAACCUUGUGGGAAGCAGGGAGGACCACCUCCCAAGGCUAAAUACUACCUGAUGACCGAUAGUGAAGCAGUACCGUGAGGGAAAGGUGAAAAGAACCCCGGGAGGGGAGUGAAAUAGAACCUGAAACCAUGUGCCUACAACCGAUCAAAGCACCUUAUGUGUGUGAUGAUGUGCUUUUUGUAGAACGAGCCAACGAGUUACGGUAUGUAGCGAGGUUAAGUACUUAAGGUACGGAGCCGAAGGGAAACCGAGUCUUAAUAGGGCGACUAGUUGCAUGCUGUAGACCCGAAACCGGGUGACCUAUCCAUGGCCAGGUUGAAGCGAGGGUAAAACCUCGUGGAGGACCGAACCACGUUGCUGUUGAAAAAGCAUGGGAUGAGCUGUGGAUAGCGGAGAAAUUCCAAUCGAACUCGGAUAUAGCUGGUUCUCCUCGAAAUAGCUUUAGGGCUAGCGUCGUGAAAUGUGAGUACUGGAGGUAGAGCACUGAAUAGGCUAGGGGGCAUAGCGCUUACCGAACCUUAUCAAACUCCGAAUGCCAGAUACUAUCAGCACGGCAGUCAGACUAUGAAAGAUAAGUUCCAUGGUCAAAAGGGAAACAGCCCAGAUCGUCAGCUAAGGUCCCAAAGUGUAAGUUAAGUGGAAAAGGAUGUGGGAUUUCUAAGACAACUAGGAUGUUGGCUUAGAAGCAGCCACUCAUUAAAAGAGUGCGUAAUAGCUCACUAGUCAAGAGAUCCUGCGCCGAAAAUGUCCGGGGCUCAAACUUACCACCGAAGCUACGGGUUCAUACUUUGUAUGAGCGGUAGAGGAGCGUCGUAAUCGGGCUGAAGUCGUACCGUAAGGAGCGGUGGACUGAUUACGAGUGAGAAUGUUGGCAUUAGUAGCGAGAUGUAGGUGAGAAUCCUACAGGCCGAAUAUCUAAGGUUUCCUGAGUAAAGUUUGUCUUCUCAGGGUUAGUCGGGACCUAAGGCGAGGCCGAGAGGCGUAGUCGAUGGACAAUUGGUUGAUAUUCCAAUACCACUAUAAUCGUUAUUAUCGAUGGUGUGACGGAGAAGGAUAGGAUGUGCCAGCUAUUGGAUGCUGGUCUAAGCGUUGAGGGAGUUAGAACAGGCAAAUCCGUUCUAACAAUCCUAGGGCGUGAUGGGGAAGGUUCUACGGAACCGAAGUAUCUGAUUUCAUGCUUCCAAGAAAAGCAUCUAGAAAGAGAAGUAGUGCCCGUACCGCAAACCGACACAGGUAGAUGAGGAGAGAAUCCUAAGGCCGACGGAAGAAUCACAGUUAAGGAACUAGGCAAAUUGACCCCGUAACUUCGGGAGAAGGGGUGCCUACCAUUUGGUAGGCCGCAGAGAAUAGGCACAAGCAACUGUUUAACAAAAACACAGGUCUCUGCUAAAG